AGAGUUUGAUCAUGGCUCAGGACGAACGCUGGCGGCGCCGUUAACACAUGCAAGUCGAGCGAGAACCAAGCCUUCGGGGCUGGGGAAAGCGGCGAACGGGUGAGUAACACGUGAGUAUCCCACCCUUGGUUCCGGGAUAGCCCGGGGAAAACCGGAUUAAUGCCGGAUGGCAAAAGCCCCUCGGGGCGGUUGGAAAAGGUAGCUUCGGCCUCCGACCAAGGACGAGCUCGCGGCGGAUUAGCUUGUUGGUGGGGUAACGGCCUACCAAGGCGACUGAUCCGUAGCUGGUCUGAGAGGACGAUCAGCCACACUGGGACUGAGACACGGCCCAGACUCUCUACGGGAGGCUAGCAGUGGGGAAUCUUGCGCAAUGGGCGAAAGCCUGACGCAGCGACGCCGCGUGGGGGAAGAAGGCUUUCGGGUUGUAAACCCCUUUCAGGAGAGACGAAGC
This 451-nucleotide ribosomal RNA is filed under the name uncultured forest soil bacterium. RNAcentral's name for it is "bacterial SSU rRNA". It matches the Rfam family "Bacterial small subunit ribosomal RNA", at positions 8 to 451 of the family's 1533-position model. The record is from RNAcentral.